Molecule: non-coding RNA, 109 nt
Filed under: Yersinia enterocolitica
Lineage: Bacteria; Pseudomonadati; Pseudomonadota; Gammaproteobacteria; Enterobacterales; Yersiniaceae
Description: antisense sRNA RprA
Rfam family: RprA RNA
About the family: Translational regulation of the stationary phase sigma factor RpoS is mediated by the formation of a double-stranded RNA stem-loop structure in the upstream region of the rpoS messenger RNA, occluding the translation initiation site. Clones carrying rprA (RpoS regulator RNA A) increased the translation of RpoS.
Source: RNAcentral
AGAUAUUUAAAUAAAUUAUCUCAUAAUGACUUAUUUAAAUAUCUGUAAUCGAAUACACGUAUUGCUGUGUGUAGUCUUUGCCUGUCACCUAAGACGGGCUUUUUUUUAU